RNAcentral lists this transfer RNA (73 nucleotides) under Myotis davidii. It matches the Rfam family "tRNA". From Rfam's summary of the family: Transfer RNA (tRNA) molecules are approximately 80 nucleotides in length. Their secondary structure includes four short double-helical elements and three loops (D, anti-codon, and T loops). The record is from Rfam by way of RNAcentral. Lineage: Eukaryota; Metazoa; Chordata; Mammalia; Chiroptera; Vespertilionidae.
GCCAGUGUUGCUCAGUGGAUAGAGCAUCAGCCUGCAAACUGAAGGGUCCCAGGUUCAUUUCCGGUCAAGGGCA